UAGCCAUGAUGUGGACAGGAAUUCGUGAGAUCCUUGAACCUUUCCUAGCAUUAAAAGAAGGUCUCUUCGUCUUUCUGGGUGAAGUUCAUGAUUGCCUUCCUUAAAGUGU
This is a small nucleolar RNA of Magnolia sinica, 109 nucleotides long. The record is from RefSeq and is a predicted model, not a curated record. Lineage: Eukaryota; Viridiplantae; Streptophyta; Magnoliopsida; Magnoliales; Magnoliaceae.